AGCCAGCUGACGAGUCCCGAAUAGGACGAAACGCGCGUCGUGGAU
Molecule: non-coding RNA, 45 nt
Filed under: Schistosoma mansoni
Lineage: Eukaryota; Metazoa; Platyhelminthes; Trematoda; Strigeidida; Schistosomatidae
Source: RNAcentral